UGGGCCCUACGGGAGGCAGCAGUGAGGAAUAUUGGUCAAUGGGCGGGAGCCUGAACCAGCCAAGUCGCGUGAGGGAAGACGGUCCUAUGGAUUGUAAACCUCUUUAGGCGGGGAGCAAUGCCGGGCACGCGUGCCCGGAGGGAGAGUACCCGCAGAAUAAGCAUCGGCUAACUCCGUGCCAGCAGCCGCGGUGAUACGGAAGGUCCGGGCGUUAUCCGGAUUUAUUGGGUUUAAAGGGAGCGUAGGCCGGCUUUUAAGUCAGCUGUGAAAGUCCGCGGCUCAACCGUGGAAUUGCAGUUGAACCU
This 305-nucleotide ribosomal RNA is filed under the name uncultured bacterium. RNAcentral's name for it is "bacterial SSU rRNA". It matches the Rfam family "Bacterial small subunit ribosomal RNA", at positions 332 to 634 of the family's 1533-position model. The record is from RNAcentral.